Peromyscus californicus insignis is the source of this 4133-nucleotide long non-coding RNA. RefSeq lists it as uncharacterized. Lineage: Eukaryota; Metazoa; Chordata; Mammalia; Rodentia; Cricetidae. The record is from RefSeq and is a predicted model, not a curated record. The transcript has 2 exons.
CCUCUGUUCCUGCUUGGAACCCUUUGCUAGCUUCCCUCAAAGAUGGCCUUUGGCAUCCAAUAAGCCCCCUUCUCCCCCAUACUUACUUUGUGUGAUGAACAAGAGAACUUCGGUGUUGGCCAACUCUUUCCCUGCCUCCCAGCCAAGUAGCUAGCUCUUUUUUGUCUAUAACUGUUGUAUUCACCAUCUAGUCUUCAUUCCUCAUAGAUAAUUUAAUGCUUUCUUAAUACUUCUGGUGGUAAAUAUCACCAAGAAUACUUGUUAAAAUUAUAGACUCAUAGGUAAGACCUAUGGAGGCAGACUCCACAAGGAACAGAUUUUCUUGCCAGAGAAUUUGGGAGAGCUAGGGCUAUUGAUGAUUUUUCAGUGUCCUUUUAUGCUAACAAAGCACAUUCAUGAAUCUUUCCACAAAUGCCUCAAAUAUGCUCACUGUUUUAUGUUCCAGAACAAGGGGCCCCUUGGAGUUAAAUGUUGACUCUGGGCCAGAAAUGGCUUCUUGUCCCGAGCCUCCCCACCAGGACCUACUGCCUUCCAGAAGCUUCUGGUAAUGAUGGAAAUAGUGCUAUCAAGAAAGUCUCUUGCAAGCAAAGAGGAGAGAGACAGAUAUGAUGAAAUCCCUGAGAGCACACUAGAGGUUGUGAAACAAGAGAAAUCCUGAGGUUGCUCAAGAUGCAGGUUCUAGAGACAACCUGAAUGUCUUGGGUUCGGCCUCUUCUUCUGUCUUCAAACCAGCCCCACUAGGCCAAGUCCUUCUCUUGCUGCCAACCCUGAGCUUGCUCCCAUUGCUACACCCAGGGCCACAGCCGGACAGCCCGGACAGAUCCUUAGCUCCUGUAGGCUCAUAUGAUUAGGAUAGUGCAUUCACUCCAUCUGUGCAUUGAGCAUCCAUUAUGUGCCAGGUGCUAAGAUUGCCGAUUAUUCUUCCUUUAAGAUGUUUCUAGUCCAAGCAGACAGACUUAUCAAUCACCAAAUGCAAUAUAGUAUGCAAGGACAAUGGGAGAGAAAAGGAUGAGGUUCAGUGGGUCCUGGGUUCAGCACCUGUGUAUUUCAGGAAUUGUUGAUCAAAACUAUUUAGAAAAAAAUUUGUAUUGAAUAGGUGCAGCCUUAUGUUCUUGUCAUUAUUUCUUGUGCUGUACAGCUAACUACAGAGCACUUACGUUAGAUACUGUAAGUAAUCUAAAGGUGAUGGUUUGAAGAAUACAAGAGGAUGACGUACGUUAAAUGCAAAUGUUAUACCGUUCUAUAGGAAAGGCUUGAGCAUCUGUGUAUUUUGAUGUCUGCAGAGGUCCCAGAACUAAUCGUCCACCAAGACCAAGUGAUGACUGCAUAGACAAGGGACCUUUAAGGCAAUACGGGAAAACAGAAGGCAUGAUGGCUAAGGUGAUGCUCAGGCUACCUAAGGAAGAAUAAGAAGCAUCUAGCCAAGGGAGCAGACAGAGGAACGGUGCUAGCGUCGUGACUUUUGUUUCUGUGGAAGCAAGAACUGGGACCGUGUGUUUCUGAGUACUUCAAAAUGAGUCCAACUCUUGAUCCAGCAAUUCCAGUUCUAGAAAUUUAUUCUAAGGAAGUGAGCAGACAUACACAUAAAGAUUUAUGGGCACAGAUGCUCAUUGCCGUGUGAUUUAUAAUAAUAAAAAAUUAGAAACAGCCUCAAUGUUUAUAGUAAAUUGGAUAAAUGAAUCCAUAUGAUGAAAUAUAAUGUAGCCCUUAAAAGCCGUCUUAAAUGAGGGGAAAGUACUCACAUCGAAUUAAGCAGGGAAAAGUAGUUUAAAAUGUGACCUCAAUAUGGUAAAAUUGGACACAAAGCAGGCCAAAAUGAAUACUAUGUAUGUAAGUUAUGCACAAUGAAAGACUUGAAUAAAAUAUAUAAAAAUGAUCAGGGGCCAGAUUUUAGGGGAUAAAUGCAUUCAUUGAGCACUACUUCUAUGCUGGGCACUGUUCUAAGAACUUUAUGUAGACGAAUUGAUGAAUUAAUCUGCACAACUCCCUAUGAGAUAGACAUUCUGAUAAUCUUCCACCUCACUGACGAGGAAGCUGAGGCCCAGCAAAGUUAAUGAACAUGGCUAAGGUCCCUAAACAGCGAGUGCCAGAAGUUGGAUUUGAAUGCAGGCAAUCUCCAUACAGACUACUAAUGCCCAAAGAGAUGCUCACACCUGGUGAGAGGAGACCUUUCUCAGGACAACAGCAUCUUAGAAAGCCAGCUUCCUAGCUGACAUAAGGCUAUGUUGGACUGAGACAGGAAAGUUAAUGUCUCAGGUAUGUUGGGUCUCCUGGUCCUGCGAGAUUCUCAGGAUGUCCUGUGAACAUCCUGCUGACCUGUGAAUCUUUAUGUUUCUAUUUCUUUGAUGUUCAUUUCUGGGCAAAGGACCCUUGGGUGCAAUGAGGAAUUGCGCUUCUGCAUGGAGCUGAGAGGGUAUGUGUGUACAAAGUUGUUUCCCGUGGUGUAAAAUUUCUUGUACCUCUCUGUUAUUGUUUUUCUUGAUGUCAAGGAAGAAAAACUUCAAUAUUUAAAUGGUUAUAUGUAGAAAAAAUAGUUUGCAAAAGAGCCUUGUCAUAGCUUUUAUUAUAUUGAAAACGUGGGUGGACAAGCUCCCAUGUGAAAAGCUUUAAGGCUUUGCCCAUUGGUAAAAUCUUUUUCUCUGAGUCAGUGUGGGCUACAGAGACCCAAGUCCAAGCCAGAUGGUGAAAUUAGCUGAUUGAUCGGCAUAAGCUGACAGAUAUUUCAGGGAAAGACGAGUCAUUGACAUUCACUAGCUUGGUCAAGUUCAAAAGUGAUCCACUACUUUUGUGCCAGGCUAUCCCAUCUGGCCCAGAUAUGUUCUCCUCCAUGGGAAUUCUUCAGCCUAUCUAAAAAGUAAAUCACUUGUCAGAGAAGCAGACUUCAGGCUUUGGGCCAGAAAGUUUCUUUCAGCUCUAGUGUAGGGAGACAAAAGCUGAGGUAAAAAUUGCAAUGACAGUAAUAAUAGCAUCUAGUUCAUUGUUGAAUCGUAUUUACCUAAGGAUGGAAAGAACCAAAGACUACACUGAAGACGUGGCCGGUUGUCCUUGUCACAGAGGGCCCUUGUUUUAUCGGCCAACUUGGAAUCUGCUCCAUAUAUUGUGUUUGCAGUGGAAUAAGACCAGUAGAAUCACAAGGCUGUUCCCCCUCCUCCCCAUUCCCAGCAAAAGGCAUUAUGGGAAAUAGAAGGUCAUAAGGGCCAGUUAAUGCUUAGACAAUGUGGUACUGAUAUGGAUAUCCAAUAUGAGUCAGAAAAAACCUGGCUGACUCUGGAACCCCGGGGCCUGUGAGUCACCAUAAAGUGACUAACACUGGAUGUCUGAGACCCCAAAAGUAAACAAAAGCUAUUAUACAACUAUUUUUCACAGAGUGCCCUUUUUUUUUUUAUGUGAUUCUGUAUAAAGAGGGCCUCGAGGUCAGAGGCCUGAGUCUCUGUUUUUGUCUUCUCCAGCCUACCUGUGUGUGUUUGCCUGUAAGCCUGUGAGCUGCCUGCCUGUGUGCAGCCCAUGUGUACCAGCUGUGUGUGGGUGCUGAAGGGCGGCUGCCUGCUUAGUCAGCUCUACUCCAAGUGAGUAAAGAAGGCCUCAUCAGUGUACUAUUCCUCUAAUUAUCUCCAACCUCCCAACCUCCUGUGGUCCUUCUACUGUCCUGGGAUGGGAGCAUGGACCUCACAGGCAUGAGCCACUCAGCUUACAUAUGGGAAUUAAAGGUCUUAGUAUCCACACUAGCCAUGCCAGUGGAUACCUGGACGUUAGUUUUUCCACCUUGUGACUAAACUCGAUGCAUUUGGAUUGAGGAAGGGAAAAGGGCAGAGAAGCAAUACACAGAGAGACUGCUGUACCAGGAGCUGCCAUCACAGAAGAAAGUAUUCAUUGGGAGACCCAGGCAGCUCUGAGGGAGCAUCCAUUGACUCUGCUCCUGCCACCCAGUGAGGACAAGCCAUCAGCCAGAUGGUCCCCAGGGAUGUUUAGACUUAAGACACUGCUCAGCACCCAUUUGUCCUUUCAACUGUUUCCCACUGUGCUUAAAUUCAACAAUUACUUCUAUGAACACCUAUUUGCCACUACCGGCUCCUGGCUACCAUGUACCACCCAUUGUUCUGCAUCCAGGAAAUAAACUGGAUUGUAAUGUUGCA